This 76-nucleotide transfer RNA is filed under the name Adlercreutzia equolifaciens subsp. celatus. RNAcentral's name for it is "tRNA-Gly". It matches the Rfam family "tRNA". From Rfam's summary of the family: Transfer RNA (tRNA) molecules are approximately 80 nucleotides in length. RNAcentral also lists the same sequence under 31 other names. The record is from RNAcentral. Lineage: Bacteria; Bacillati; Actinomycetota; Coriobacteriia; Eggerthellales; Eggerthellaceae.
GCGGACAUGGCUCAGCUGGUAGAGCAUCACCUUGCCAAGGUGAGGGUCGCGGGUUCGAAUCCCGUUGUCCGCUCCA